GAUGAACGCUGGCGGCGUGCUUAACACAUGCAAGUCGAACGGUGAAGCAGGAGCUUGCUCUUGUGGAUCAGUGGCGAACGGGUGAGUAACACGUGAGCAACCUGCCCCUGACUCUGGGAUAAGCGCUGGAAACGGCGUCUAAUACUGGAUAUGUGAUGUGACCGCAUGGUCUGCAUCUGGAAAGAAUUUCGGUUGGGGAUGGGCUCACGGCCUAGCAGCUUGUUGGUGAGGUAAUGGCUCACCAAGGCGUCGACGGGUAGCCGGCCUGAGAGGGUGGCCGGCCACACUGGGACUGAGACACGGCCCAGACUCCUACGGGAGGCAGCAGUGGGGAAUAUUGCACAAUGGGCGGAAGCCUGAUGCAGCAACGCCGCGUGAGGGAUGACGGCCUUCGGGUUGUAAACCUCUUUUAGCAGGGAAGAAGCGAAAGUGACGGUACCUGCAGAAAAAGCACCGGCUAACUACGUGCCAGCCGCCGCGGUAA
RNAcentral lists this ribosomal RNA (484 nucleotides) under uncultured bacterium. RNAcentral's name for it is "partial 16S ribosomal RNA". It matches the Rfam family "Bacterial small subunit ribosomal RNA", at positions 28 to 523 of the family's 1533-position model. The record is from RNAcentral.